This is a long non-coding RNA of Ictalurus punctatus (channel catfish), 847 nucleotides long. NCBI's taxonomy places the organism in Eukaryota, Metazoa, Chordata, Actinopteri, Siluriformes, Ictaluridae. The record is from Ensembl.
CACACAGUCAAUCACCAGGAUACAACCACACUUUACACCAUCUUGUUCCUCCCAUCAGGAGUUGCACAUUGCCGUGGACUCACUCACAUGUGCACACUUUAAAACUUGACUGCACUGUCUCUUUUAAUACACAUCUAUGCCUGGUGAGCUUUAAUAGUCAGCAUUUUUCUAGGAACACACCUAAAACUCUGUGGAUAAAGCUAUGGCUCUACUCUUAUAUCGUUUUAUUGUCCUCUGUAUGUCUGUAUCGCUUGUUGCAGUGACUGAUGAAAGUUCAGUAACUGAAAACCCAGUAAAUACAACUAAUAUGAAUGUAACACAACAAACAGGUGAUGGUGCUAAACCAACACAGACGCCAGACAACGGGCUCACAAUGUUAGCCUUUGGUGUGAUGAGCUUCAUUCUCAUUUUGAUCAUUGUUAUGGUGAUCUUGGUAACAGCUGUUAACUUCAGAGGACAGUGCGCUAAUACAAAGGAAGAGGACACAGAUUCACUGCGGAUCUCCUCCAUUUACAGUGCAGCACUGGACAACGAAGACCAAUAGCUCAGAAUCAGAGUAGGACUGAUUCAAUUCACUGAACAAAGCUGCCUUUUCAAGCUACUUUUCAGCAAUAACAGACCACAGUAUUAUUAAAAUGACACAGUUCUACAUUGUUGUACAAUUUGUCUCACAUUUGCAAUUUUUUUAUGCAAAAUUAAAUGAGCACAAAGAAUAAGCUAAUGAACGGUGAAUGUGUGAUGUCUGAAUAUUCUUUUUAAACAGCUCACUGGACAACUCCAAUGACCUCUAUUCCUCUAACCGCUUUAGUCUAGACUCAGUGUGAAAAUAAGAGAUAAUAAAGCUUGG